UACGUAGGGUGCAAGCGUUAAUCGGAAUUACUGGGCGUAAAGAGCGUGUAGGCGGCUAGGUAGGUCCGUUGUGAAAACUCGAGGCUCAACCUCGAGACGCCGGUGGAAACCAUCUAGCUAGAGUCCGGAAGAGGAGAGUGGAAUUCCUGGUGUAGCGGUGAAAUGCGCAGAUAUCAGGAAGAACACCCGUGGCGAAGGCGGCUCUCUGGGACGUGACUGACGCUGAGACGCGAAAGCGUGGGGAGCGAACAGG
Molecule: ribosomal RNA, 253 nt
Filed under: uncultured bacterium
Lineage: Bacteria
Description: partial 16S ribosomal RNA
Rfam family: Bacterial small subunit ribosomal RNA
Source: RNAcentral